UGUUUUUUUUUUUUCAGCCUCAAUAAGGGGAGAUGUAGCCGAUCCCCAGCCGGUAGACUCCGCGCCAGUCGUCUUGCGUCUACAAUUUCGUCCGAAUUCUCACUAAACAAACCGCUCGUCAACUGGACUAACUUUCAGCUGUGCUGAAAGUCGCCAGUUAAGGACUUCGGCUGUUUGCAGGAUCGCAUAGGAUUUCCUUUUGGACUUUGCGUUUUUCAUUCAAGUCGCGGUGGCCGAGCAGCGCAGCGUCACGGGUCACGACCACACAUUUAAGUUUUAAACCGAUAUGAUCUGAAAACGCCAAUACCCAGAAAACCCAAGGAUCUGCACAAAACAAACAACUACACUGUAACCCCAAAACAAGACAUUCAUUAAAAUUACGUUAACAAAAAAAAUAUGUCCCUAAUACCUAUAUCACAGUUUUAUCACCGUUUUUGGUUUAACCUUUCGUGCUUAUUGCACGGACGACCUGGGAUGCGAAUCCUUCGAUUUCCUUCGAAGAGGAUGUCACCGCCAAAUCACAGCUAAUCCCUGUGAACUGUGCCUCGGGAGCAAUUGUCCUACUUCUAGUGGACACGCCUCCCUUUCUUCCUACAAAAUUUAAACAACUUUUCUCCACCAGUCCGCAUCCCGGUGCAAUUGCAUGUGUGUCAUGCAAGCCACCGUUCGUGGGCUGGCUGGAGAUAAUAAAUAUGCGAGACGCCGUCGACUCGGCUAUCACAUAUUUUAUUUGUUAAAUUGGGCGCCAUAUUGUUACGGAACUGCAUCUUUCCCGGAGAGCAGCGCCGGCUAGCCACGGAGUCCCAGGGCGGAGUACCCCCUAUGCCCUGCAGUCCGAACAAUCGAUUCCGACUCAUCGGACGUCUCACGUCGAUUUACCAUCUCUACCACAAAUCAAAACAAAACAAAGUUAUAUGUACAUCAAGCAAACUAAGACAAUUCGACGAAAUUGGUGGCUUCGAUGUCCUUGCCACGACGCACCCACCCAACCUUGGGUGCCCCAAGAAUGAUGUGGGAGGCACACCACAUCUCCGGCAGACCGGAGUCUAUUCCUGGUGGAUUAGGAUCGGCUCAUCUCCCCACCCAAGAAACUCUUAAGGCCGAUCUCAGACCGUCGCCCAGAUUAGAAGCGGUCAAAGCGGCAACAACCGAAAGGGAAAUUUUUAGACGCUUAAAAUUCCAAGUGUCAGGCAAAGUCGCCGCACGGCACUAAAUUGGAGGCGUUUGCCAACCGGGUCGCCUAAUCCUGAGGAGCUCCAAGGGAAAAGAAGGGACGUGCUGAUAAGGUAAGUACGCUAAACAAAUCCCACAAGUUAUUAAAUUUCGCGACCCAAUUUAGAUGUAGUUGGACGCGCGGCUAGGGUUCGGGCUUGAGCCUCUAAUUUUAGAUUAGAUUUCACAAUUUCAACGUCGGAUGUGGUUGAAACUGCAGCCCGAAUGGAAAAGCGCUAGCGGCGAAAACCAGCGCGAGUUCGCACGGAGUCAAUUGGUCCGGAGGAUAGCGCAGCGUGGCCGGAGGCAGUGCGUCGGUGGACUUGGAGAUGAGCACGUGGCCAGAGCGGGCAUUCGUUCCCGGAACGGACUCACCGAGGGAAUCUCCGUAUCUGGCCGUCUUGGAGGCAGUCGCUGUAGCUGCUGGCGCUUGAGGCUGCUGCUGCUGCUACUGAUCGCUGCUGCUGCGGCUGAUGCUGCUGCGGCU
Long non-coding RNA from Drosophila elegans, 1699 nucleotides. RefSeq lists it as uncharacterized. Lineage: Eukaryota; Metazoa; Arthropoda; Insecta; Diptera; Drosophilidae. The record is from RefSeq and is a predicted model, not a curated record. The transcript has 3 exons.